GAUUUCUGGCUUGAAGCAGUUUGCCGGCCACGGUUUCGUGUGUCAGUGCUUGCUGUUCUGGCCAUCCUUCCAAUGGCUGUGCGUGCGUUCUUCAUUGGGCGUGCGUGCGGUGUUGGAUCUUUUACUUUGAAAAAAUUAGAGUGUUUCAAGCAGGCUUUAUGCUAUGAAUACAUUAGCAUGGAAUAAUAAUUUAGGACUUCGGUUCUAUUUUGUUGGUUUCUAGGACUGAAGUAAUGAUUGAUAGGGAUAGUUGGGGGUGCUAGUAUUCAGCGGCCAGAGGUGAAAUUCUCGGAUUCGCUGAAGACUAACUUAUGCGAAAGCAUU
RNAcentral lists this ribosomal RNA (324 nucleotides) under Sandonidae sp. RNAcentral's name for it is "SSU rRNA". The stretch from base 114 to 324 matches the Rfam family "Eukaryotic small subunit ribosomal RNA", at positions 744 to 955 of the family's 1831-position model. The record is from RNAcentral. Lineage: Eukaryota; Cercozoa; Glissomonadida; Sandonidae.